GUUCCUGGCUCAGGAUGAACGCUAGCGGCAGGCCUAACACAUGCAAGUCGAGGGGCAGCACGGUGUAGCAAUACACUGGUGGCGACCGGCGCACGGGUGCGUAACGCGUAUGCAACCUACCCAUAACAGGGGGAUAACACUGAGAAAUUGGUACUAAUACCCCAUAACAUCAGGACCGGCAUCGGUUCUGGUUGAAAACUCCGGUGGUUAUGGAUGGGCAUGCGUUGUAUUAGCUGGUUGGUGAGG
Molecule: ribosomal RNA, 246 nt
Filed under: uncultured bacterium
Lineage: Bacteria
Description: partial 16S ribosomal RNA
Rfam family: Bacterial small subunit ribosomal RNA
Source: RNAcentral